GAGUUUGAUCAUGGCUCAGGAUGAACGCUAGCGGCGUGCCUUAUGCAUGCAAGUCGAACGGUCUUAAGCAAUUAAGAUAGUGGCAAACGGGUGAGUAAUAGGUAAGUAACCUGCCCUUAAGUGGGGGAUAACACUUCGAAAGAAGUGCUAAUACCGCAUGUGGUGGGCUGACAUAAGUCGGUUCAUUAAGGCCGCAAGGUGCUUGGUGAGGGGCUUGCGUCCGAUUAGCUAGUUGGUGGGGUAAUGGCCUACCAAGGCUUCGAUCGGUAGCUGGUCUGAGAGGAUGAUCAGCCACACUGGGACUGAGACACGGCCCAGACUCCUACGGGAGGCAGCAGCAAGGAAUCUUGGGCAAUGGGCGAAAGCCUGACCCAGCAACGCCGCGUGAGGGAUGAAGGCUUUCGGGUUGUAAACCUCUUUUCACAGGGAAGAAUAAUGACGGUACCUGUGGAAUAAGCUUCGGCUAACUACGUGCCAGUAGCCGCAGUAAC
Molecule: ribosomal RNA, 491 nt
Filed under: uncultured bacterium
Lineage: Bacteria
Description: bacterial SSU rRNA
Rfam family: Bacterial small subunit ribosomal RNA
Source: RNAcentral